Molecule: ribosomal RNA, 528 nt
Filed under: uncultured bacterium
Lineage: Bacteria
Description: partial 16S ribosomal RNA
Rfam family: Bacterial small subunit ribosomal RNA
Source: RNAcentral
AUUUUUUGCAAAAGGGGGAAAUAUUGUACUACAACCGCGGGCGGGGGGAAAAGACCCCCCGGGGGUGAAAACCUUUUUAUCGUGGGGAAAAUAUUUCCGUUUAAAAGACGGGAAAAUUGACGGUACCGCAGAAGAAAGCCCCGGCUAAAUCUGUGCCACCAGCCGCGGUAAUACGGAGGGGGCAAGCGUUUUUCGGAAUUUUUGGGGGUAAAAGGGCGCGUGAGGCGGUUUUUUAAUUCUGAGGUGAAAUCCCCCGGUUCAACCCGGGAAAGUGCGUUGGAAACUGCGGAGACUUGAGUGUGGGAGAGGGGAGGGGAAUUCCCGGGGUAGCGAGUGAAAUGGGUAGAUAUAUGGAGAAACACCAGUGGGGAAGGGGGCUCUCUGGGCCGAAACUGACGCUGAGAGGCGAAAGAGUGGGGGGCAAACAGGAUUAGAUACCCCGGUAGUCCUCCCCCUAAACGAUGAGUACUAGGUGUUGGGGGGGUUCACCCCUUCAGUGCCGCAGCUAACGCAUUAAGUACUCCGCUG